AACGAACGCUGGCGGCAUGCCUAACACAUGCAAGUCGAACGAGACCUUCGGGUCUAGUGGCGCACGGGUGCGUAACGCGUGGGAACCUGCCUUUAGGUUCGGAAUAACUCAGAGAAAUUUGAGCUAAUACCGGAUGAUGUCUUCGGACCAAAGAUUUAUCGCCUUUAGAUGGGCCCGCGUUGGAUUAGCUAGUUGGUGGGGUAAAGGCCUACCAAGGCGACGAUCCAUAGCUGGUCUGAGAGGAUGAUCAGCCACACUGGGACUGAGACACGGCCCAGACUCCUACGGGAGGCAGCAGUGGGGAAUAUUGGACAAUGGGCGAAAGCCUGAUCCAGCAAUGCCGCGUGAGUGAUGAAGGCCUUAGGGUUGUAAAGCUCUUUUAACCGAGAUGAUAAUGACAGUAUCGGGAGAAUAAGCUCCGGCUAACUCCGUG
Molecule: ribosomal RNA, 433 nt
Filed under: uncultured bacterium
Lineage: Bacteria
Description: partial 16S ribosomal RNA
Rfam family: Bacterial small subunit ribosomal RNA
Source: RNAcentral